CGCAAUGUAAAAGCUUAUUUCAACAUCUAAUAAACUUGAAAGCGGUGAACUGAAUUGGAGUAAGUUCAACCACUAGUUACCCUAAAAUCACAGGGCCCUGUCGACGAACAGCUACAGAUCAAACAAGCCCAUCUUAAGAUUGAGGAAUAAAUUUCGUGCUCUGGGCUUUCUUGGACAGCUGGGCUUAGAAGGAGGACCACCAAUGCAGAUGCAGGUACAAGCCGCCUCCUCCUCUGUGUUUUUGUCAGCAGCGAAGCCCGUCUGGGUGUCGGCAUCGGCUCCACCGGUGGUUCGCGUGAAUUCCCUGUACACCGCUAAACCUUCUUCUCUCAACAGCGAUUCUAACUCCAUGGCUACGGCCGCACCUAAGUGGGCGCAGAAGACGAUUACCCUACCCCCACAGCGCCGAGGCUGCCAUCUUAUUACUCCCAAGAUUUUGAAUGAAAUUGGUUCAGACUUAUCAGAAUUCAAGUGCGGCCUUGCACAUCUCUUCUUACACCACACAAGUGCCUCUCUUACUAUCAACGAGAAUUAUGACUCUGAUGUUCGAGAUGACACCGAGACAUUCCUCAAUAAGAUAGUUCCUGAGGGGAGGUCUGCACCUUGGAAGCAUACUUUGGAAGGUCCAGAUGACAUGCCAGCGCACAUCAAAUCAUCAAUGUUUGGAUGUGCACUUACGAUUCCAAUCACAAAUGGAAAGCUUAAUAUGGGCACCUGGCAGGGAAUAUGGCUGUGUGAACACCGUGACCACCCUACUGCCCGCAAAGUUGUGGUUACUCUUAAUGGAAUUUAAGGCUUUAAUAUUUGAAGUUGAAGACAUCUUGAUCCUGAUAUGUUGGUAAACCAAGGUGGUUUUAUGACGAUGUAAUGUCUUUACGUGUAGCUGUUAGUGAGACAAAACGGCAUGGUUCUCUGUUACUUAAUUGGGACUAGGCGUUUUAUAACUGUAACAACUUGCAGAUCAUGGCAUGAAAUUAUCGUUAUUUGUGUCAAAUUUUGGAUUAAUGAAUUUAGAAGGAAACAUUCCAAUAUGUCAACUGUAUCUGUACAGAAAAAAAAUAAAUAAGCCUAUAAUAUAUGGAGUUAGAGGAAUCAGCGCAUCAUGACAGUAAACUCGUGGAAGCUAAGGACGCCAUCUCCAUUAAGGUCGAAAGUUCCAAUCAUGGCCUUACAGUCGUCAAGGGACCUUGACUCGCCCAAUCGAUUCAGCAUUCUCUUCAAACUUGUAGGGUUAAUGAAUCCAGAGCCAGGCUCCGUCUCGUACAUGCUAAACGCGUGCUUGAGCUCUUCCUUCUUAUCGUCCUCGGAGGUGCUGCUCUCCAUAAGCCUUUGGAAAUCCUCGAAACCUAACAGUCCAUCUCCGUCCAUAUCAGAUGAGCUUACGGCAGACUCCGCUUCCUCAUUAGAAAGGUCCCCUCCCAUCGUCCUCACGCAGCUCCGCAACUCAUCCGCAGAUAUCUUUCCAUCUCCAUUCUCGUCGAAGUAGUUGAAGACCUUUUGAAGUUCGGUGGCGAUAGCACCAUUAGUUGAUGGAGGAGGAGAAAGAGAACGCGGACUGUCGGCUCUCCUUGGAGAUAAUUUGCGUCGCAAUCUUGUUAGAGCAGAUUUGGGUGAAGUUGAAGGCGAAUAUGGAGGUGAAAGCUUAUCGGAAAUCAUGAUAAAAUUAAGGGAUGGUUAUAUAGCAAGAAGGCAGAAUUGAAGGAGAUUAAUGGUUGUUUAUAUAUAGCAGAAACUAGAAAAUGAUAAGGAAGUAAUUGAGAUUGGAUAAGAUACUCUCUCUAUAUGUAGAUAGACAUCCAAACAAGGAGUUGGAAGUAUAUUCCUACAAGGAGUUGGAAGUGUGAAAGACGCGGAAGCUUAGGACAACAGAUAUAUCUAUCUGAAAGUUGAGAACCCGGUUUUGUGUGGGCACAUGAGAUGUAUUUAUAUUUAAAACCAAGGGAAAUUGACCUUCGCCAGUUGUUUUACAAGUGGUAGUUUGGCUCUAGAGACGGCAGCGCGUGGCGGAAGUUUCCUUCUUCCUACCUCGUCUUCCUUGUUCUUCCUCAAUUAAUAUCUAUGGAGUGGGCAGAAGACAGUGUCGGUCACCGUCUAUGUUGGAGAAGGACGUUAGCCCAGUGUCGGCACGCCACAUCUUUUUCAUUCAUUCAACCAUCAUAGCGUCUAUUGUUAAUAUCCGUACAAUUCAACACCUUAUUUAUAAAUAUUUUACUUAAAUAUUGUUUCUGUUUGUUGGGCUUAGCAGAGAAAAAUCUGCUUCAUAUAAAACAGCAUAUAUGACUGCACCAGUGAUAAUACAG
This 2300-nucleotide unclassified non-coding RNA is filed under the name Hevea brasiliensis (rubber tree). The record is from RNAcentral. Lineage: Eukaryota; Viridiplantae; Streptophyta; Magnoliopsida; Malpighiales; Euphorbiaceae.